Daktulosphaira vitifoliae (grape phylloxera) is the source of this 591-nucleotide long non-coding RNA. RefSeq lists it as uncharacterized. The transcript is spliced from 3 exons. NCBI's taxonomy places the organism in Eukaryota, Metazoa, Arthropoda, Insecta, Hemiptera, Phylloxeridae. The record is from RefSeq and is a predicted model, not a curated record.
ACGAAUUGGGUCACAAAAAAUGUACAAAAAUUAACUCAAGUAAAUUAUUGAUACUGGCUUCCAGGGACUGUUAACAGUGACGUUAUAUAAAAAGCAGAUGAGCGGAGGUUAACCUCGAAAAUGUAUAGAGUUAAAAUUUAUGAUGGAAAUAAAACUUUUGAUCAUUUUAAUAAAGCAUACAACAAGUUAUUAUUGAAGAUUCAUCUAAUGAAACAGGUUAUGAAAAAAAUAUGACUUUAAGACAUAAACAAAAAGGAAAGCCUAUCUCACAAAAUAUAUUGUUUAAUGUAACUGAUGAAAGUGACAAUGACAAUGAUAUGAUAUAAUGGCUCAGUCAUCAUUUGCCACAUAGAUAUAGUCAAACCUUUGUUUAUAUAAUCAAAUAAUAAUACUCUAAUAGUUUCAAGUUUAAAAACAGAUAAUAGAAUGUCUUAUUUACCAUACAAAUCAACAUCUUCAGCUACAGUUACAUCAGCUGAAUCUGUAGCACCUUGUAGUUGGUUUUCAUUAACUGAAAAUGACAACCAUCAACAACUCUUUGAGUUAAUGCUUUCAGAAUCCAAAAGUAUUUGUUCUUCAACGGAAUUCUCA